Small nuclear RNA from Catagonus wagneri (Chacoan peccary), 107 nucleotides. Lineage: Eukaryota; Metazoa; Chordata; Mammalia; Artiodactyla; Tayassuidae. The record is from Ensembl.
GUGCUCAUUUUAGCAGCACAUAUACUCAAAUUGAAACAAUGCAGAGAACAUUAGUAUGACCUUUGUGCAAGGAUCAUAUACAAAUUUCUGAAGCAUUCCAUAUUUUA